AUUAAUAAGUCCUUUUAUAUCAUUUUUAUUAGAUUUCACAUAUAAGUGAUAUAUUUGUCUUUCUCUGGCUUACUUAGAGUGUGAUUACUGGAUCAUAUUUAGUUUGUUUUUUCCCCCGGUGGUGUUUUUUAUUAAAAUAUAGUUGAUUUAUAGUGUUGUAUCAAUUUCUGCUGUACAGCAUAGUGACCCAGUUAUACACACACACACACAUACACACGCACACACACACACACAUUCUUUUUCUCAUACCAUCCUCUAUCAUGUUCUUUCCCAAGGGACUGGAUAUAGUUCCCUGUGCUGUGCAGUAGGACCUCAUUGCUUAUUCAUUCUAAAUGUAGUAGUUUGCAUCUACCAACCCAAAACUCCCAGUCCAUCCCACUUGCUUCCCCCUCUCCCUGGCAACCACAAGUCUGCUCUCUCUGUCCGUGAUCUGUUUCUGUUUUGUAGAUAGGAUCAUUUGUGCUAUAUUUUAGAUUCCAUGUGUAAGUGAUACAAUAUGGUGUUUGUCUUUCUUUUUCUGUAUGAGAAUCUCUGGUUGCAUUCAUAUUGCUGCAAAUGGCAUUACUUUGUUAGUUUUAUGGCUGAGUAGUACUCCAUUGUAUGUAUGUGCCACAUCUUAAUCCAUUCAUUUGUUGGUUUCCAUGUCUUGGCUCUUGUGAAUAGUGCUGCAAUGAACAUAGAGGUGUGUGUAUCUUUUUAAAUGAAAAUUUUGUCUGGACAUAUGCCCAGGAGUGAGAUUGCUGGAUCCAUGGCAGUUCUAUAUUUAGUUUUCUGAGGAACUUCCAUACUGUCCUCCAUAGUGGUUGUACCAAUUUACAUUCCUACCAGUGAAAGAGGGUUCCCUUGCCUCCACACCCUCUUCAGCCUUUGUUUUUUGUUGACUUGUUAAUGAUGGUCAUUCUUACCAGUGUGAGGUAUGCCGCAUUGUAUGUUUGACUUGCAUGUCUCUAAUAACUAGUGAUGUUGAGCAUUUUUUCAUGUGCUUGUUGGUCAUCUGUAUGUCUUCUUUGGAGAAACGUCUGUAUAGGUCUUCUGCCCAUUCCCAGGCUUAUUCUGUAAGGCCACCAUCACCCUGGUACCAAAACCAGACAAGGAUACCACAAAAAGAGAAAAUUACAGGCCAAUAUCAUUGAUGAACGUAGAUAUAAAAAUCCCAUAUUUAGUUUUUUAAGGAACCCCCAUAUUGUUCUCUCUGGUAGUUGUACCAGUUUGAAAAUUUGACCAACAGUGUACAAGAGUUCCUUCUUCUCUGUAUCCUCUCCAGCACUUAUUGUUUGUAGACUUAUUGAUGAUGGUCAUUCUGACCAGCGUGAGGCGAAAUCUCAUUGUAGUUUUGAUUGUAUUUCUGUAAUAAUUAGUGAUGUCAAGCAUCUUUUCAUGUGCUUCUUGGCCAUCUGUCUGUUGUCUUUGGAGAAAUGUCUAUUGGAUUUUCUGCCCAUUUUUUGAUUGGGUUGCUGUUUUUUUAAUUUUUUUUUUUUUUUGUAUAUAGAGCUGCUUAAGAGGUUUAUAUAUUUUUGGAGUUUAAUUCCAUGUUGGUUGCUUCGUUUGCAAAUAUUUUCUCACAUUCUGUGGGUUGUCUUUUUUUAUGGUUUCUCUUAAUUUAUAAUCCUUCUCUUGGCCAUGGAGCCCUUCCUUUUAGUGACCACAGAUUUGACCUUGCUAAAGGCUUGCCCUCUUCCUGGCCAAGGUCCUGCCAUAGCCUACUUCCCCUGGUUUUGUGUGAUCCCAAAAAGCCUUGCAUGAUCACUGUCAUUCUUUUUCCCAUUCAUCAGUCCAGGAAGCAUGUGUUUUAUAUACUGUGUGAGGCACACGCAUUUCAAUCCCAGCGUAUCAAACCUGAGUAGAAGAUAGCUCACUGACUUAGUCCACUGCGUAGGUGAAAACUCUGGUCUCUGUUCCAUUACUUCUCUUUGUACCCCUCCCUUCACAUUUCUCUGCUUCUUCAUCUUCCAAGUCCACUACUUUGUGUAUUUUGCUCCAGAGUUGAGCAAAGUUCAGUGCUUCCCCAGCGAUCAUAGGAUGACUUUGAUCUUCUUAGACCGACGUUCCAGGCUUGCCCAAACUGGACUGCAUUUCGUUUCCACUCACAAUAUCUAAGUGUGAAUGCUUUGCCCUGGCCCACACAGAUACAUCUGCCCUGCAGUAUUUUAGUUUGGCCACAACUGCAUCUCUGCCAGCCGUUGACCCUGAUGCUCCUUUGUGCAUUUUCAGGUUUGAGCUGGGCUUGUGUUGACAAUUCAAAUCUUGGAUGUUGGCAGGAAGCAUCUCAACAGAUUCCAGCUAAAACUUACCCCUUCCUUCCUUUGAACUUCUCUUUGCUCUCUACCUUCAGCUGGUGGGUAGCAUUUGCUUCUUACCUUGCUACUUAUUUUGCCAUGAGUAUACUGGGUCCCCAACUUGGUUUGAACGAUCCGUAAGGGAAGGGAUUUGUUUUUCUUCCUUUUAAAAAAUAUUUUAGGAGUUCCCAUUGUGGCGCAGUGGUUAACAAAUCCGAAUAGGAACCAUGAGGUUUUGGGUUCGAUCCCUGCCCUUGCUCAGUGGGUUAACGAUCCAGCGUUGCUGUGAGCUGUGGUGUAGGUUGCAGACACGGCUCGGAUCCUGUGUUGCUGUGGCUUUGGCAUAGGCCAGUGGCUACAGCUUCAAUUUGACCCCUAGCCUGGGAACCUCCAUAUGCCAUGGGAGCGGCCCAAGAAAUAGCAAAAAGACAAAAAAAAAAAAAAAAAAAAAA
RNAcentral lists this long non-coding RNA (2728 nucleotides) under Sus scrofa (pig). RNAcentral describes it as "lncRNA (ENSSSCG00030012777.1)". Lineage: Eukaryota; Metazoa; Chordata; Mammalia; Artiodactyla; Suidae. The record is from RNAcentral.